Molecule: ribosomal RNA, 415 nt
Filed under: uncultured Gammaproteobacteria bacterium
Lineage: Bacteria; Pseudomonadati; Pseudomonadota; Gammaproteobacteria
Description: bacterial SSU rRNA
Rfam family: Bacterial small subunit ribosomal RNA
Source: RNAcentral
GUGCCAGCAGCCGCGGUAAUACAGAGGGUGCGAGCGUUAAUCGGAAUUACUGGGCGUAAAGCGCGCGUAGGCGGCUUUGCAAGUCGGGUGUGAAAUCCCCAGGCUUAACCUGGGAACUGCAUUCGAGACUGCAUUGCUAGAGUAUGGGAGAGGGAAGUGGAAUUUCAGGUGUAGCGGUGAAAUGCGUAGAUAUCUGAAGGAACAUCAGUGGCGAAAGCGACUUCCUGGACCAAUACUGACGCUCAUGUGCGAAAGCGUGGGGAGCAAACAGGAUUAGAUACCCUGGUAGUCCACGCCGCAAACGAUGGGUGCUAGGUGUCGCGGGCUUUGACUCCUGCGGUGCCGUAGCUAACGCAUUAAGCACCCCGCCUGGGAAGUACGGCCGCAAGGCUGAAACUCAAAGAAAUUGACGGGA